GACGAACGCUGGCGGCGUGCUUAACACAUGCAAGUCGAGCGGUAAGGCCCUUUCGGGGGUACACGAGCGGCGAACGGGUGAGUAACACGUGGGUGACCUGCCCUCAGCUCUGGGAUAAGCCUGGGAAACCGGGUCUAAUACCGGAUAUGACUCCAUGACGCAUGUUGUGGGGUGGAAAGCCUUGUGCGGCUGAGGAUGGGCCCGCGGCCUAUCAGCUUGUUGGUGGGGUGANGGCCUACCAAGGCGACGACGGGUAGCCGGCCUGAGAGGGCGACCGGCCACACUGGGACUGAGACACGGCCCAGACUCCUACAGGAGGCAGCAGUGGGGAAUCUUGCGCAAUGGGCGAAAGCCUGACGCAGCGACGCCGCGUGAGGGAUGACGGCCUCGG
RNAcentral lists this ribosomal RNA (391 nucleotides) under uncultured bacterium. RNAcentral's name for it is "bacterial SSU rRNA". It matches the Rfam family "Bacterial small subunit ribosomal RNA", at positions 28 to 420 of the family's 1533-position model. The record is from RNAcentral.